GCCGGGAUGGUGGAAUUGGUUGACGCAGCGGACUCAAAAUCCGCCGGCCUUACGGCCUUGCGAGUUCAAGUCUCGCUCCCGGUACCA
Molecule: transfer RNA, 87 nt
Filed under: Desulfovibrio sp.
Lineage: Bacteria; Pseudomonadati; Thermodesulfobacteriota; Desulfovibrionia; Desulfovibrionales; Desulfovibrionaceae
Description: tRNA-Leu
Rfam family: tRNA
About the family: Transfer RNA (tRNA) molecules are approximately 80 nucleotides in length. Their secondary structure includes four short double-helical elements and three loops (D, anti-codon, and T loops). Further hydrogen bonds mediate the characteristic L-shaped molecular structure. tRNAs have two regions of fundamental functional importance: the anti-codon, which is responsible for specific mRNA codon recognition, and the 3' end, to which the tRNAs corresponding amino acid is attached (by aminoacyl-tRNA synthetases). tRNAs cope with the degeneracy of the genetic code in two manners: having more than one tRNA (with a specific anti-codon) for a particular amino acid; and 'wobble' base-pairing, i.e. permitting non-standard base-pairing at the 3rd anti-codon position.
Source: RNAcentral